AAGAACUUAAAAAGUUUCCGUCAAAAGGAAAAGAACUUAAAGAGACUGGGGAUGUUGCAAGCACCAUGAAAGGAGAAGAAGAAAAAGACAACAAAGAAGUUGGAUAUGCUGCAAGCAACUUGGAAAAUGAAGAAGAAAUGGCUAAGAAGAUCAAUGCUCCUUCUGCAGAUGCAGCAAGCAUACAGGAUGAAG
This is a long non-coding RNA of Triticum aestivum (bread wheat), 192 nucleotides long. RefSeq lists it as uncharacterized. The transcript is spliced from 3 exons. Lineage: Eukaryota; Viridiplantae; Streptophyta; Magnoliopsida; Poales; Poaceae. The record is from RefSeq and is a predicted model, not a curated record.